RNAcentral lists this ribosomal RNA (390 nucleotides) under uncultured bacterium. RNAcentral's name for it is "bacterial SSU rRNA". It matches the Rfam family "Bacterial small subunit ribosomal RNA", at positions 29 to 424 of the family's 1533-position model. The record is from RNAcentral.
AUUGAACGCUGGCGGAAUGCUUUACACAUGCAAGUCGAGCGGCAGCGCGGGGCAACCUGGCGGCGAGCGGCGAACGGGUGAGUAAUGCAUCGGAACGUACCCAGUCGUGGGGGAUAACUGUCCGAAAGGACAGCUAAUACCGCAUACGUCCUGAGGGAGAAAGCGGGGGAUCGCAAGACCUCGCGCGAUUGGAGCGGCCGAUGCCGGAUUAGCUAGUUGGUAGGGUAAAGGCCUACCAAGGCGACGAUCCGUAGCUGGUCUGAGAGGACGACCAGCCACACUGGAACUGAGACACGGUCCAGACUCCUACGGGAGGCAGCAGUGGGGAAUUUUGGACAAUGGGGGCAACCCUGAUCCAGCCAUUCCGCGUGAGUGAAGAAGGCCUCGGUU